GUAUGUGAGUUGUUGAUUUUAGCAUAAAAAGGUAUUUUGAAUGCAAUAGUGAAGUUAGAUUUAUCAAAAGAUGCCUUCUUGACUACUUAUAAGAGCUAUCAGCUUUGGUAAUGAAGUUGGCUCUUGAAUGAAUGAAGGCCAUAGAUCUACAUUAGGAAUCUUAGAGAUCAAGGGUGGAGAUGUGGCCGCCCUUCUUCAACCCACUA
RNAcentral lists this long non-coding RNA (206 nucleotides) under Physcomitrium patens. RNAcentral describes it as "long non-coding RNA (PPAT_LNC010978)". Lineage: Eukaryota; Viridiplantae; Streptophyta; Bryopsida; Funariales; Funariaceae. The record is from RNAcentral.